GAAAAUAGAGAGGGAGAAGGAAAGAAAGGCGGGUUCAGUUGGUUGAGGUCGUCACCACCGCGAAGCACCAUGUGGAGGUUAAGGUCACCUCGAAUCUCUCAUCUCGUUGGUAGAUUGAGUCAAAUUAACGUAGUAAGUGAUGUGAAGGUGCAGCAGUAUCGUUGCUGUCAAACUCUAGUGUCGCCUCCUCCAUCGAGUUUGCAACAG
This is a non-coding RNA of Vigna umbellata (rice bean), 207 nucleotides long. The record is from RefSeq and is a predicted model, not a curated record. Lineage: Eukaryota; Viridiplantae; Streptophyta; Magnoliopsida; Fabales; Fabaceae.